AAAAAAAAAAAAAAAAAAGAAUAACAUCAAAAGAAAAUAUGAUGGAACGGAAUAGAUCUACUGAAAGAAAUCUUCACUUCCCUAAUUCAGGUAAUCUAUCAGCAAGAACAACCAAAUUAGGCCCACAACAAUUAACCACUUGAUCUCAAGCUAACUCCAUCACCUUUUACGUAACAGCAAUGCUUGAUAGAAGGGGAGAAAAAAGGAUCAUUCAAAACCUACCCAAAAACUAGAUUUUCUAACAAAGUUAUCCAUCAUCUGCAACACAACUCUUUCCCAACAUCUAAUUCUCCUAGUAUUCUACAAAAAAAACAAGCCAAAUUCCCUAAUAUCUCGACGAAGGAUCACACAUUCACCUAAAUUUUGAUAAAAACCCACUGCAUAUACAAUAAUCAACAAAAAUUUCUACAUUGGAGACAAGGUUAAGUUAAAG
RNAcentral lists this unclassified non-coding RNA (433 nucleotides) under Hevea brasiliensis (rubber tree). Lineage: Eukaryota; Viridiplantae; Streptophyta; Magnoliopsida; Malpighiales; Euphorbiaceae. The record is from RNAcentral.